GAUACAUGUUUUUUUAUUUUAAAGAAAAACUGAGGCCAGGUGGCAAUGGCUCACAUCUAUACUCCUGGGGUACUCAGAAAGCUAUCUGAGGAUCACGGUUGAAAGCCAGCCCAAACUUCCCAAAUUCAUAUCUCCAAUUACCCACCAGAAAACCAGGAGUGGCGCUAUGGCUCAAGUGGUCGAAUGCUAGUCUGGAGCUGAAAACCUCAUGGACAGCGCCCAGGCCCGGAGUUCAAGCCCUAUGACAGACAAAAA
This is a long non-coding RNA of Perognathus longimembris pacificus (Pacific pocket mouse), 255 nucleotides long. RefSeq lists it as uncharacterized. The transcript is spliced from 3 exons. Lineage: Eukaryota; Metazoa; Chordata; Mammalia; Rodentia; Heteromyidae. The record is from RefSeq and is a predicted model, not a curated record.